CCUACGGUGGGCAGCAGUGGGGAAUAUUGCGCAAUGGGCGAAAGCCUGACGCAGCGACGCCGCGUGAGGGAUGAAGGUCUUCGGAUCGUAAACCUCUGUCAGCAGGGAAGAACGGUCACUGUGCUAAUCAGCAGUGCAUUGACGGUACCUGCAAAGGAAGCACCGGCUAACUCCGUGCCAGCAGCCGCGGUAAUACGGAGGGUGCGAGCGUUAAUCGGAAUUACUGGGCGUAAGGCGCUCGUAGGCGGUAUGUCAAGUCAAGGGUGAAAUCCCCGGGCUCAACCGGGGAACUGCCUUUGAAACUGGCAAACUUGAGUGUGUGAGAGGAUAGGGGAAUUCCAGGUGUAGGAGUGAAAUCCGUAGAUAUCUGGAGGAACAUCAGUGGCGAAGGCGACUAUCUGGCACAUAACUGACGCUGAGGAGCGAAAGCGUGGGUAGCAAACAGGAUUAGAUACCCGAGUAGUC
This 465-nucleotide ribosomal RNA is filed under the name uncultured bacterium. RNAcentral describes it as "partial 16S ribosomal RNA". It matches the Rfam family "Bacterial small subunit ribosomal RNA", at positions 338 to 795 of the family's 1533-position model. The record is from RNAcentral.